GACAUAUCUCCCACUCUCUUUAUUCUAGUGAUAGACUUAAGAAAAUGAUAUUGAAAAGCAUUAUACAACCAAUCUUCAAGCAGUUUAGAGUAAGCUUCAGAGUCUCUCUCUUGAAAUCAAUUCAUCUUCAAAGUUGGCACAUUGAAACCUGAGCAAGGUCGGGGUAGUUGCAAAUUCCCCGCCAGGCAGUUACAGUUUAGUUACACUGUUUUGACACCCACCAUCCCAACUGAAGUUCCUGUUAAGUUGAUGAUUAGAAUAUUUGAUAUAUUUGGAUUGAUUAAUGCAGCUUGACAGUGAAGAAUGGCAACAUUUCAGUCUCAACAACAGUGGGAAUGGCGACAGAUAGUGCAGAUUUUAGCGGCUGCAGACAGAUGGCCUGCACAUGGUUUUGGCCUUCCGUUAUCAUUCAUUUGCUCUUCCUGUUUACACUUGAAGGAAAACAGGGUACUGGUUGCUCUGUUUUGUUCUUGUUCUCCCUUCCUAUGCACGAUCUUGUCAACUGUUGAAAAAGGCAAAGGCCUUUUGUUGAGAUUAUACAUUUAUAUGUUUAGAAACUGUUCUGGUUAUUGGAUCUGGAUAUUUUUGAGUGAAUAUUUUUUAUAUUUA
Molecule: long non-coding RNA, 609 nt
Organism: Mangifera indica (mango)
Lineage: Eukaryota; Viridiplantae; Streptophyta; Magnoliopsida; Sapindales; Anacardiaceae
Exons: 2
Source: RefSeq, a predicted model, not a curated record